GUUCAUUCAAUGCUCAUAUAUCUCCUCUCUUUUAGGAUUUCUGUUAUUUCUAGAGAAGGUCUUAAUGAGAUGGUGUCUCUUACUUGCUAGUAAUUACAUGCCGUUUAGAUUGUAUCUUUGUUAACUCACUUUCCUUCCAUUUGCAUGAGCUCAAUGAAUGUAUUGAAAAAUGGGGAAUAAAUAUGACCCAGCACACACCCUCCAAGAGCUCAACCCGCACUGAGAGAGAUGAAGAUGAGAGAUGCACAGUAGCUGUCUGUCAUGACUGGUAGAGACCUCUUUCACCUCACGGGGUGUUGAUUCUGCGGAAAGGAAGGUUGAUCUGAAGGAAGAGGCUUUUUUCUCCAGCAAUUGCUACUGCUAUUGUAACCUUGGGAAAGAGCCUUGUGAAUCUUGUGAGUUUUGGGAGCUUCCUAAACCUUAAGUAAAACUUCCAGUGUAGCAAACAGAUCUGUUCUGCG
Molecule: long non-coding RNA, 461 nt
Filed under: Cricetulus griseus (Chinese hamster)
Lineage: Eukaryota; Metazoa; Chordata; Mammalia; Rodentia; Cricetidae
Description: lncRNA (ENSCGRG00015041756.1)
Source: RNAcentral